GUGGGGAAUCUUAGACAAUGGGGGAAACCCUGAUCUAGCCAUGCCGCGUGAGCGAUGAAGGCCUUAGGGUUGUAAAGCUCUUUCAGCUGGGAAGAUAAUGACGGUACCAGCAGAAGAAGCCCCGGCUAACUCCGUGCCAGCAGCCGCGGUAAUACGGAGGGGGCUAGCGUUGUUCGGAAUUACUGGGCGUAAAGCGCGCGUAGGCGGACCAGAAAGUUGGAGGUGAAAUCCCAGGGCUCAACCUUUGAACUUCCUUCAAAACUCCUGGUCUGGAGUUCGAGAGAGGUGAGUGGAAUUCCGAGUGUAGAGGUGAAAUUCGUAGAUAUUCGGAAGAACACCAGUGGCGAAGGCGACUCACUGGCUCGGUACUGACGCUGAGGUGCGAAAGCGUGGGGAGCAAACAGGAUUAGAAACCCCUGUAGUCC
RNAcentral lists this ribosomal RNA (425 nucleotides) under uncultured bacterium. RNAcentral describes it as "partial 16S ribosomal RNA". It matches the Rfam family "Bacterial small subunit ribosomal RNA", at positions 354 to 796 of the family's 1533-position model. The record is from RNAcentral.